This 328-nucleotide long non-coding RNA is filed under the name Nicotiana benthamiana. Its description in RNAcentral is "long non-coding RNA (NBEN_LNC026904)". Lineage: Eukaryota; Viridiplantae; Streptophyta; Magnoliopsida; Solanales; Solanaceae. The record is from RNAcentral.
CCAAAUCCCAAUUCUCUCUCAAACUCUCUCUCAAACGUUAGCCGCCACCCUCAACUACCACCUGAAAAUCUCCCAAAUCCAUGGCUUCGCAAGCUAUUGGAGGCCUGUAUCUACCAUGUGGUCGAGUAACAUGGUUUCGAGGCUAGACCUUGAAAUAGCUUGGCCCAAACUUUGGUCAAUCUUAGUUUUUAUGGCUAUCUCUGGUCAUCUUUGGCCUUGUUUCAGCCGAUCAUGGCUAUUCAAGCCUAGUUCUUGACUUAUCCUGCCUAGAUCAAGAUUGUCCAAGCCUUUCUCACCAUCUGGGUUUCUACUGAAACCCUAAUCUUUG